GGGAGUCCGGAGACGUCGGCGGGGGCCUCGGGAA
This 34-nucleotide small RNA is filed under the name Bombyx mori (domestic silkworm). RNAcentral's name for it is "ovarian small RNA-17498". The record is from RNAcentral. Lineage: Eukaryota; Metazoa; Arthropoda; Insecta; Lepidoptera; Bombycidae.